Molecule: ribosomal RNA, 720 nt
Filed under: Shigella sp.
Lineage: Bacteria; Pseudomonadati; Pseudomonadota; Gammaproteobacteria; Enterobacterales; Enterobacteriaceae
Description: bacterial SSU rRNA
Rfam family: Bacterial small subunit ribosomal RNA
Source: RNAcentral
AUUGAACGCUGGCGGCAGGCCUAACACAUGCAAGUCGAACGGUAACAGGAAGCAGCUUGCUUCUUUGCUGACGAGUGGCGGACGGGUGAGUAAUGUCUGGGAAACUGCCUGAUGGAGGGGGAUAACUACUGGAAACGGUAGCUAAUACCGCAUAACGUCGCAAGACCAAAGAGGGGGACCUUCGGGCCUCUUGCCAUCGGAUGUGCCCAGAUGGGAUUAGCUAGUAGGUGGGGUAACGGCUCACCUAGGCGACGAUCCCUAGCUGGUCUGAGAGGAUGACCAGCCACACUGGAACUGAGACACGGUCCAGACUCCUACGGGAGGCAGCAGUGGGGAAUAUUGCACAAUGGGCGCAAGCCUGAUGCAGCCAUGCCGCGUGUAUGAAGAAGGCCUUCGGGUUGUAAAGUACUUUCAGCGGGGAGGAAGGGAGUAAAGUUAAUACCUUUGCUCAUUGACGUUACCCGCAGAAGAAGCACCGGCUAACUCCGUGCCAGCAGCCGCGGUAAUACGGAGGGUGCAAGCGUUAAUCGGAAUUACUGGGCGUAAAGCGCACGCAGGCGGUUUGUUAAGUCAGAUGUGAAAUCCCCGGGCUCAACCUGGGAACUGCAUCUGAUACUGGCAAGCUUGAGUCUCGUAGAGGGGGGUAGAAUUCCAGGUGUAGCGGUGAAAUGCGUAGAGAUCUGGAGGAAUACCGGUGGCGAAGGCGGCCCCCUGGACGAA